GGGUUUGUAAAAGUAGACCUUUGGACAAGGCGCUAGCUGUCAAAACAGCUCGAAGUCCAAAACAGUUGGAGCAGUAGGUGGAGAGGAGCGACCUCGCUCAGCGACACCCCCGCCCGGCUCCGGAGGAAAAUGACGAGAAAGAAGAAGGAAAACAACAUGUCUCUUCCCACUGCAGACAAUGAGCUGGAAGUGCUGUCAGACUCCCCAAUGAAGAGAAGAAAAGGAGGCAUUGCUGCUCCAACAGGCUGCGAUCUGAACCGUACACUGGCACCAAGCUCAUAAACCAUGUUCCUGUCAGAAAGUACACUAGACUUCAAUUAUUUGUGGAGACCAAACGGGAUGGCAGCUGACAGAUUCCUCUUAACAUCAUUCAUCAUAACUCCCUCCAGUUUUCCAGAUGCGGUUUUUGGCAAAUCAGAGUAAUGAGAAUAUCUCAUGAGCUACUGCCCUCUCUCUCUCUCUGAUGGAGUGUUCCCUCUGGAGUCUCGGCCAUCAGUCUUCAGGAGAAUCUGA
This is a long non-coding RNA of Xiphias gladius (swordfish), 513 nucleotides long. RefSeq lists it as uncharacterized. Lineage: Eukaryota; Metazoa; Chordata; Actinopteri; Istiophoriformes; Xiphiidae. The transcript is spliced from 4 exons. The record is from RefSeq and is a predicted model, not a curated record.